Molecule: ribosomal RNA, 254 nt
Filed under: uncultured bacterium
Lineage: Bacteria
Description: partial 16S ribosomal RNA
Rfam family: Bacterial small subunit ribosomal RNA
Source: RNAcentral
UACGUAGGGUGCGAGCGUUGUCCGGAAUUAUUGGGCGUAAAGGGCUCGUAGGCGGUUUGUCGCGUCGGGAGUGAAAUCCACUGGCUUAACUGGUGGCUUGCUUUCGAUACGGGCAGACUGGAGGUAUGCAGGGGAGAACGGAAUUCCUGAGUAGCUGGUGGAAAUGCGCAGAUAUCAGGAGGAACACCGGUGGCGAAGGCGGUUCUCUGGGCAUGUCCUGACGCUGAGGAGCGAAAGUGUGGGGAGCGAACAGG